CCUACGGGAGGCAGCAGUGAGGAAUAUUGGUCAAUGGACGAGAGUCUGAACCAGCCAAGUAGCGUGAAGGAUGACUGUUCUAUGGGUUGUAAACCUCUUUUAUAUGGGAAUAAAAUGUUCCACGUGUGGCAUUUUGUAUGUACCAUAUGAAUAAGGAUCGGCUAACUCCGUGCCAGCAGCCGCGGUAAUACGGAGGAUCCGAGCGUUAUCCGGAUUUAUUGGGUUUAAAGGGAGCGUAGGUGGAUUGUUAAGUCAGUUGUGAAAGUUUGCGGCUCAACCGUAAAAUUGCAGUUGAAACUGGCAGUCUUGAGUACAGUAGAGGUGGGCGGAAUUCGUGGUGUAGCGGUGAAAUGCUUAGAUAUCACGAAGAACUCCGAUUGCGAAGGCAGCUCACUGGACUGCAACUGACACUGAGGCUCGAAAGUGUGGGGAUCAAACAGGAUUAGAUACCCUAGUAGUC
This 460-nucleotide ribosomal RNA is filed under the name uncultured bacterium. Its description in RNAcentral is "partial 16S ribosomal RNA". It matches the Rfam family "Bacterial small subunit ribosomal RNA", at positions 338 to 795 of the family's 1533-position model. The record is from RNAcentral.